GACGAACGCUGGCGGCGUGCUUAACACAUGCAAGUCGAACGGAAAGGCCCUGCUUUUGUGGGGUGCUCGAGUGGCGAACGGGUGAGUAACACGUGAGUAACCUGCCCUUGACUUUGGGAUAACUUCAGGAAACUGGGGCUAAUACCGGAUAGGAGCUCCUGCUGCAUGGUGGGGGUUGGAAAGUUUCGGCGGUUGGGGAUGGACUCGCGGCUUAUCAGCUUGUUGGUGGGGUAGUGGCUUACCAAGGCUUUGACGGGUAGCCGGCCUGAGAGGGUGACCGGCCACAUUGGGACUGAGAUACGGCCCAGACGCCUACGGGAGGCAGCAGUGGGGAAUAUUGCACAAUGGGCGGAAGCCUGAUGCAGCAACGCCGCGUGCGGGAUGACGGGCUUCGGGUUGUAAACCGCUUUCGCCUGUGACGAAGCGUGAGUGACGGUAAUGGGUAAAGAAGCACCGGCUAACUACGUG
Molecule: ribosomal RNA, 468 nt
Filed under: uncultured bacterium
Lineage: Bacteria
Description: partial 16S ribosomal RNA
Rfam family: Bacterial small subunit ribosomal RNA
Source: RNAcentral